GGCAGAGAUGCUGUGUGUGCCAGGUCAGAGAGCAGAGGGGCAGCCCACUAGCAGCAGACUGUUCUCAGCAUUGAGAAAUGCACUACUCUGCUCUCUACACACCCUACCCACCCUCAUGGCUCUGCCACAAAAUUAAAAGAUGAUGGUUGAUGGAGAUUCUCAGGAGUGCACACAGUGGCACCUUUCAAAAUGGAUGGCCUCCCUGAUGCCCCACUCUGCUUCGCCUUCAUUAAGCCAGCAUCUAAUCCUCUUUAUGACACUUAACCACAUUCUUUCUCAUGUACAAUUUUUUGUGUGUCAGCUUACUUUCCUACUAGACUGUAAACAUCUUGAGAAUAGAGACUGCCCUUUCAUCUUUGAGUAAAUGCCUAGAACUCAGCACUCAGCAAUUAUUUAAUGAAUUUUUAAAUAGGGAAAUAGGCUGUUUUUCUUUAGGUUUUGAAGCUGCCCAUUUAACCCUAUAGCAGCCUUAUCUCCAAAGGGGAGGAAAGAGUAACAGUUGACUUGCUUUCCUGCUUCUGAAGAAAGGGAUGGCCGUGCCCCAUCCCAGGUGAGCAGCUCUGGAGCAGGACCAGGGCUCACAUCUUCUAGAUGCCAGCUGUCAUCUGUGUCUAGGACUUAUUGUCAGCACUCGUUCAUCUCCAGGCCAAAAGCUCCCUGGCCCUGGGUUCCCCCUCUCCUUCUGUCUGCUGUCUGUCUUCAGUUCAGCAAGCUUCCCUCACAGGUUGCUCCCUCUGGGUCAUGGUGACGGCUCUAUAGCUGCAAGCUGUAUGAGGUUGCCUCUGGGAGGGGGAGAGGAAGUGGAUCUGGCUUUUGCAACUCUCCUCUGGUGUACUGGAUGUCUGCAGCCCCUGUCAGACCCCUCGGCGUCCCACCAGAGCUUGCCAGUGCUUUUGGCCUGGCAGGAAGAAGGCACAAAUCGCAGCAGAGCAUCUCCCAGACUGUGGCUGUGAACUGUCUCCUUUUGAGGUAGGUAACAGUGCUGGGGUUAGGGAGUAAAGCAACGGAAUGUGAGAGA
Molecule: long non-coding RNA, 1018 nt
Filed under: Heterocephalus glaber (naked mole-rat)
Lineage: Eukaryota; Metazoa; Chordata; Mammalia; Rodentia; Bathyergidae
Description: lncRNA (ENSHGLG00000042333.1)
Source: RNAcentral